CGCUGACGACCGGCGCACGGGUGCGUAACGCGUAUACAAUCUACCUUUUACAGGGGCAUAGCCCGGGGAAACCCGGAUUAAUAUCCCAUGGUAUCAUUUAGUGGCAUCACUUGAAUGAUUAAAGUUUCGGCGGUAAAAGAUGAGUAUGCGUUCUAUUAGCUAGAUGGUAAGGUAACGGCUUACCAUGGCUACGAUAGAUAGGGGUCCUGAGAGGGAGAUCCCCCACACUGGUACUGAGACACGGACCAGACUCCUACGGGAGGCAGCAGUGAGGAAUAUUGGACAAUGGGCGAGAGCCUGAUCCAGCCAUGCCGCGUGCAGGAAGACUGCCCUAUGGGUUGUAAACUGCUUUUAUACGGGAAGAAACACUCCUUCGUGAAGGAGCUUGACGGUACCGUACGAAUAAGGAUCGGCUAACUCCGUGCCAGCAGCCGCGGUAAUACGGAGGAUCCAAGCGUUAUCCGGAAUCAUUGGGUUUAAAGGGUCCGUAGGCGGGAUAAUAAGUCAGUGGUGAAAGUCUGCAGCUCAACUGUAGAACUGCCAUUGAUACUGUUGUCCUUGAGUAAUUAUGAAGUGGUUAGAAUAUGUAGUGUAGCGGUGAAAUGCAUAGAUAUUACAUAGAAUACCGAUUGCGAAGGCAGAUCACUAAUAAUUUACUGACGCUGAUGGACGAAAGCGUAGGUAGCGAACAGGAUUAGAUACCCUGGUAGUCUACGCCGUAAACGAUGGUUACUAGCUGUUUGGCUCGAUU
This 751-nucleotide ribosomal RNA is filed under the name Salinimicrobium gaetbulicola. RNAcentral's name for it is "bacterial SSU rRNA". It matches the Rfam family "Bacterial small subunit ribosomal RNA", at positions 86 to 834 of the family's 1533-position model. Lineage: Bacteria; Pseudomonadati; Bacteroidota; Flavobacteriia; Flavobacteriales; Flavobacteriaceae. The record is from RNAcentral.